This is a non-coding RNA of Pelobates cultripes (western spadefoot toad), 859 nucleotides long. The record is from the annotation of a GenBank genome assembly. Lineage: Eukaryota; Metazoa; Chordata; Amphibia; Anura; Pelobatidae.
GUCCCAAUGGCAAGGGCCAGCAUUCUGUGGCUCAUUGGAGAGUACUGUGAACGUGUCCCGAAGAUCGCACCCGAUGUUCUGAGGAAGACGGCCAAAACGUUUAUCAAUGAGGAUGAUAUUGUAAAACUGCAAAUUUUAAACCUUGCUGCCAAACUCUACUUGACAAACUCCAAGCAGGUAACACAAUCUGACAUAUUACCCUUCUUUCUCCAUAAUCUAUUAUUUGUUGCUAUGCUAUGCUAGUUUCUAAUAUUUUUACCAUGUUUGUCCUUGUCUGUAACUCUGUUCCAUUUCACAGUGCAGCGGAACCUGCUGACACCUUAUAUAGUAAAUCUAAGUAAACAUUCCGUAAUCUUCAGAUGUGGUGUGGGUUCUGUAUACAGAACAUUUCUAAAAGUGGUGCAGGCAGUUUCAUUGGUGAUUGUUCCACUGUUACAGCUUUGUACCAGAAAUGUAUUUUAUACAGAAUCCUAAAUGUAUCUUAACUAAUGGACCUGUCGGUUGGCUGAACCUGCUUAAAGGACCACUAUAGCAUCCAGACCACCUCAGCUCAAUGAAGUGGUCUGGGUGCCAGGUUCCCCUAGUUUUAACCCUGCAGCUGAAAACAUGUUUCAGAGAAACCGUUAUGUUUACACGGCAUGGUUAAUCUAGCCUCUAGUGGCUGUCUCCCUGACAGCCACUAGAGGCACUUCUACGAUUUACACCUAGUAAAUCGCACUUAUAUGACGCUGGACGUUCUCACGGACCUCCAGCAUCAAAACAGAUCCCCAUCGGAAAGCACAGAGUAAUGCUUUCCUAUGGGCGGGUUUGAAUGCACAUUCGGCUCCACUCGGGUGCUGACGUCAGUGGAGGAGGAGAG